This 252-nucleotide signal recognition particle RNA is filed under the name Carlito syrichta (Philippine tarsier). RNAcentral's name for it is "Metazoan signal recognition particle RNA (ENSTSYG00000033767.1)". The stretch from base 35 to 252 matches the Rfam family "Metazoan signal recognition particle RNA", at positions 62 to 282 of the family's 299-position model. Rfam says of the family: The signal recognition particle (SRP) is a universally conserved ribonucleoprotein. It is involved in the co-translational targeting of proteins to membranes. The record is from RNAcentral. Lineage: Eukaryota; Metazoa; Chordata; Mammalia; Primates; Tarsiidae.
GCAGUAGCAGGCAAACAUGGUGGCCAGGCUGCUGUGUUGCUUGAGUUCUGGGCUGUGGUGAACUAUAUCUGUCAGGUGUUCUCAUUAAGUUCACCAUCAAUGUGGUGACCUCCCGGGAGUGGGGGACCACUAAGUUGCCUAAGGAGGAGUGAAACGACCUGGGUUAGAAACAGAACAGGUCAAAACUCCUGUAUUGGUUGGUACUGGGGUUUUGUCUGUGAAUACACAUUGCACUCCAGUCUAGGCAACAUA